Molecule: ribosomal RNA, 253 nt
Filed under: uncultured bacterium
Lineage: Bacteria
Description: partial 16S ribosomal RNA
Rfam family: Bacterial small subunit ribosomal RNA
Source: RNAcentral
UACGUAGGUGGCAAGCGUUGUCCGGAUUUAUUGGGCUUAAAGGGUGCGUAGGCGGCCCUGUAAGUCAGUGCUGAAAUAUCCCAGCUUAACUGGGAGGGUGGCAUUGAUACUGCGGGGCUAGAGUACAGAUGAGGUAGGCGGAAUUGACGGUGUAGCGGUGAAAUGCUUAGAUAUCAUCAAGAACACCUAUAGCGAAGGCAGCUUACUAGGCUGUAACUGACGCUGAGGCACGAAAGUGUGGGGAUCAAACAGG